Molecule: ribosomal RNA, 559 nt
Filed under: uncultured fungus
Lineage: Eukaryota; Fungi
Description: eukaryotic LSU rRNA
Rfam family: Eukaryotic large subunit ribosomal RNA
Source: RNAcentral
GCGGAGGAAAAGAAACCAACAGGGAUUGCCCCAGUAACGGCGAGUGAAGCGGCAACAGCUCAAAUUUGAAAUCUGGCCCCAGGCCCGAGUUGUAAUUUGCAGAGGAUGCUUUUGGCGCGGUGCCUUCCGAGUUCCCUGGAACGGGACGCCAUAGAGGGUGAGAGCCCCGUACGGUUGGACACCAAGCCUUUGUAAAGCUCCUUCGACGAGUCGAGUAGUUUGGGAAUGCUGCUCUAAAUGGGAGGUACAUUUCUUCUAAAGCUAAAUAUUGGCCAGAGACCGAUAGCGCACAAGUAGAGUGAUCGAAAGAUGAAAAGCACUUUGAAAAGAGGGUUAAACAGCACGUGAAAUUGUUAAAAGGGAAGCGCUUGUGACCAGACUUGCGUCCGGUGAAUCACCCAGCUCUCGCGGCUGGGGCACUUCGCCGGCACAGGCCAGCAUCAGCUUGCCGUCGGGGACAAAAGCUUCAGGAACGUGGCUCCUCUCGGGGAGUGUUAUAGCCUGUUGCACAAUACCCUUCGGCGGGCUGAGGUACGCGCUCCGCAAGGAUGCUGGCGUA